Molecule: long non-coding RNA, 185 nt
Organism: Bombina bombina (fire-bellied toad)
Lineage: Eukaryota; Metazoa; Chordata; Amphibia; Anura; Bombinatoridae
Exons: 2
Source: RefSeq, a predicted model, not a curated record
ACAGAUGGCUGCUUCUAACCCUGUUGGUGUGGGUGUCCAGGAUGCACAGCCUAUGCUGCAUCAAUAGAAAAGGAUUAUGUUAAAUGCAAGUACAUCACCAGACCUGCUACAUCACCAGCCGCUAGUGAAGAAGUCUCCUUUGUAAAUGAGUAAUCAUCUGGCUGUUAAUAAAGGUGAUCCUUUUA